UACGGGGGGGGCAAGCGUUGUCCGGAUUUACUGGGCGUAAAGAGCGUGUAGGCGGCCAAGCAGGUCCGUUGUGAAAACUGGAGGCUUAACCUCCAGACGUCGACGGAAACCGCGUGGCUAGAGUCCGGGAGAGGAGAGUGGAAUUCCUGGUGUAGCGGUGAAAUGCGCAGAUAUCAGGAAGAACACCAAUGGCGAAGGCAGCUCUCUGGGACGGUACUGACGCUGAGACGCGAAAGCGUGGGGAGGGAACAGG
This 253-nucleotide ribosomal RNA is filed under the name uncultured bacterium. RNAcentral describes it as "partial 16S ribosomal RNA". It matches the Rfam family "Bacterial small subunit ribosomal RNA", at positions 524 to 776 of the family's 1533-position model. The record is from RNAcentral.